Heterocephalus glaber (naked mole-rat) is the source of this 1675-nucleotide long non-coding RNA. NCBI's taxonomy places the organism in Eukaryota, Metazoa, Chordata, Mammalia, Rodentia, Bathyergidae. The record is from Ensembl.
GGCCGCACAGGCGCUUCGAAAAAGCGCUCAGACUGGCAGGGUUGGACCGAACCUCACUGAACACGUCGCACCCCGGGGCGCCGGGGAACGCAGUGGGUGCACCUCGGGCUGCAAUUGGCUGGAGCGUGCACGUGACGCCAAGCCCCCCCAACCCUCGCCGUCCUCCUACCCACGGAAACACCAACGACAGCCUCUUAACACCUUGCGCCAAGUACCCGCCACCCGGCGCAAAGGGACGGACGGAGCGCGUGGCGAGGAAGGCGCCUGCGCCUACCUGCAAGGCGGACGGUGGCCGGCCCACGCGCCGCGCGGCUCUGGGGUCGGGAAUCCUCGCACUGCCGGGCCGCGGGGCUAGUGAUUGGCUGUUAGGCCUGGUCACGUGCCGCUCGCGGUCCGCCCCUCCCCGCUAAUCACCUGGCACCGCGCUCGAAGCGGCGAUCUAAGUCGUUCGCACGCGGAGAGGGAGAGAAGUUGGAGGCCUUCUUCUCUUGCCUCCAUGGGGUUCUAUCCAUGAAGGAGGAACGAAAAGCUGGGUCCCAAAACUAAGUUUGAUCCCCGGUACAGAAGAAGGAAGAGGAGCAGGAGGAGGAGGAGGAAGAAAAAGAAGAGAAGGAGAGCCAGGGAAGAGGAAGGGGUAGGAAGAAAGAAGAGCAAGAGGAAACAAAAAGUCUUGCUAAAUAUAGUCCAGGCUCACCGUGGCUGCCUCACUGCUCACUGAAUGCUGGACUGCAGGCUUCACCACCACUCCCUGGUCUACACGAUUUUUAAUGUAUUGAUACAUUUAAUUCUCACCAUCAUCUUAUAUGAGUCUCACUAUGCAGCCCAGGCUGGCCUCAAACUCUGAAUCCUCCUGUCUCAGCCUCCCGAGUGCUGGAAUUACAGGUGUCCAACAGCAGAAGUGAAAUGAUUUUAACAAGGCCAUGCAUCUGUUAAAUGGUAGAGCACACACUUAUGUGUACCUGUAACAUAGGGAGCAAGGUGAUUUUCCAGGAGUAAAAGGAGAACUGGCUGGAGAAAAGAGAAAGGGGAAAUUGGGGAGGUGAGAAUAUGAAAAGUUUAGAAUAGCCAGAGUGAAAACUAUGCUUCCGAGCAUCUCCUGUCUGCACCUGUGAUCCAGCCUCUCAACUUGAGACCCACCAUCGGAUUCCUGCACCUACUCCUUCAGCCUUCUCUGGCUGCUAAAGAUGAUUCCACCCUUCCAUUUGGAUUCUGGGGUCUGGGCCUACCCUUGGGGCAGGAUUCUCUUGGGGGAGCUGAAGGGGCAGAGAAUGAUUCUGGCUGUCAGAGACAGGACCUGACAUGACCCACAAAUCACGGCAUCCUUGCUGAACCUUUUAAAAGUGUAUGCUUAUUAAAAAAAAAAAAAGUGUGUACUUAUGAUGGCCUUAGAACUGGAUUUCAGUAGACCCUGUGAUUUGUAGAAUAUUGUCUUAUUCAAAGUGACUUAAAAAGGAACAAGAGGGCUGGGAUUUAGCUCAGUGGUUCUGGAGCCUGCCUCACAAUUGCAAGGACCAGAGUUCGAUCCCUGGUACCAAAAAGAAAAAAAAAAAAAGAAACAAGAGACCCUGGAAUCUAGCUCAGUGGUGCCACCACACAAGGACCCAGGUUCGAUCCCUGGUACAAAAAAAGGAACAAGAGAGCUUCUCUCCCCUUCUCCCCCUCUCCCCCUCUCCCC